This is a long non-coding RNA of Cyprinus carpio carpio, 1011 nucleotides long. NCBI's taxonomy places the organism in Eukaryota, Metazoa, Chordata, Actinopteri, Cypriniformes, Cyprinidae. The record is from Ensembl.
CCAGUCUUAUUUCAUGCAAUGUUUGCCUCACUCGUUCAGGUGGAGGAGGGACUCCGGGGCGAGUCCGGAAAGAGGUGACCAGUUUGAGCGAGGGCGUUGUGUGCUCUGGCCUGUCUGAUUUCUUCAGAUUUCCUGUCUCUAGGCCAUAUUUACAAUAUCUCUCAUAAACACCUCAAACAACUUAGUGAAGAAACCGCAGGCCAUGUUGCCAACAAGGCAACCUAGCUCUUAAGGCAGUUUGAGGCCGUGGUUUGUUGUGUCACAAAUUCCAAAUGUGACUGUUCCGGUUGUCCAACCUCUGCCAGCUCUCCGCUUUCAGAUCAGCCCUCUGAAUCUAUAACCGUCCCCUUUGUUCCGGGACAGUUAGGAGACAAUGCAACCUUUGUUAUCCCAUCAGAGGAGACCCUUUCUACACAACACCUACAGGGUAACAGCACUACACCUGGGUCUCAUAUGAAAAGAGAAAAAGAAAAGGGGAAGUACAGGAACACGGAAACCUCUAAGAUCUCAGAACCACCCAGACUGUCACUCUUCAGUGGAAUGGAGUUAGUCAACAGAAGCAAACCUGUAUGUUUGGUUGAGCCUGUUCCUGUCGAGUCAGAUGCCCAGAUAAGUGUAGAAGCCACUACAGGCACAGACUGUGUAAUUGAGAAAAGCUGUGAGAGAACUGCAGGCUCACACACAUCUAGUGAGCAAGUGUCUGUAUUCUCCUUCCUCAAUCUCUGAUGCCAACAUUCAUUUACGGUUAUGUGCUGAUUUGGGGGAAAAUAACUUUUUUCUUCUAAUAAUGAUAUAAUAAUUGCUGCAACUGACCAUGUUUACAUGCACAUGAAAAUGUUAGUCUUCGGUAACCUGAAUACCUGAUUAAAGCGAUAUUCUGACUUAUGCUUGCGUUAAUCGUAAUUUUGAGUCACGUAAACAACUUAUUAGGAAGAUCAACUGUUUGUUUAUAUCUGUGCAUGUCUAGAUGUGUGUAGUUAUGAGUGAACAAUGCUGGAGCAAAUGGGAGCC